This is a long non-coding RNA of Ictalurus punctatus (channel catfish), 1261 nucleotides long. Lineage: Eukaryota; Metazoa; Chordata; Actinopteri; Siluriformes; Ictaluridae. The record is from Ensembl.
AAAAGGUGCAGGGACGUUAAGAGGAGAGAGAGCAGUUAGAGUACAAAAGUACAAGAGCUUUAGGCUAAGAAAGACCAUUAUUUUAAGAAUUAUUGCUCUUGUCUAAAGGUUAGAACUAGGAUAGGGUUGAAUGAAGUGGAGAGCAGAGAAAGAGCAGGACCUGAAUCAGACAAGCAGUGGGACACGGUCCUAAAAUCCCAUCCUUCAGUGGCUGCAGCAUGCUGCGAAGGGAAUACCAAGCUGUGUGAACAAUGCCCAGGGUCCAGGGUCAGCUCAGCCAGGCUUUCAGAGGAGUCCAUGCUGGAGAAGAAGAACAUAGAGCCCGCCAACACUGAGGAUGCGUUCCACUGGGCAGUUAGUGACUUUUAAUGUUAUAGGGGCGCGGAACCUGGAGCCUAUCCCAGGAAGCAUGGGGCACAAGGCGGGGUACACCCUGGACAGGGUGCCAAUCCAUUGCAGGGCAUACACUACAAACAUUUUGGACAUGCCAAUCAACCUACCAUGCAUGUCUUUGGACUGGGGGAGGAAACCAGAGUAUCCGGAGGAAACCCCCACAGCAUGGGGAGAACAUGCAAACUCCGCACACACAGGGCAGCAGUGGGAAUCGAACCCCCAACCCUGGAGGUGUGAGGCAGUCCUCAUGAAUGAAACACAUAAAAGGUCAAAUUGUCCUUCUCUCCUUCUCUCUCUCUCUCUCUCUCUCUCUCUCUCUCUUUCUCUCUCUCUCUCUCUCUCUCUCUCUCUCUCUCUCUCUCUCUCUCUCUCUCUCAGUAUCUCUCUCCCAUAAAGAAUGGAUUAUAUUGAUACCUGAGUAGAGGUGAAGAAGGGUUUUUUUUUUAUCUUUAGUGAAGUUUAGUGACUGCUUUUGGUUUCUUGUUUCUUGUUUCAGGUAUUUGCUGGAAAUUUUAUGAAGUUCAUGGCAUAUUUUUUGUGCUGUUUAUAGGGCCAAUAAACCCUUUUCACCAUGUGAAGCUCAUGGUAAACAAUGGUACACAGUUGGAGAGCCUUUUCAAAGAGGAUUAUAUCAGGUCAGGUGCAUGUGAACCUUGAUUACCCUUGACAUAUGUUUAACCAUUCUGUUACUGCUAUUGAGGCAAAACUUAUUAGGGGCAAGGGCCAGAAAGGUCAACAAGGUUAAGACCCCUAACAUUUCAAGUACACAAUCCACUGUUUUGGACCAGUGAGUUUACCCUAGGCUUCUUGUGGUACAGAUGAUGAGGCACUGGCUUCCUUUCAUAUGACACAUGAGUCAGUCACAAGG